This 705-nucleotide long non-coding RNA is filed under the name Pan troglodytes (chimpanzee). RNAcentral's name for it is "long non-coding RNA NONPTRT001995". Lineage: Eukaryota; Metazoa; Chordata; Mammalia; Primates; Hominidae. The record is from RNAcentral.
UUCUGAUCUUGCUCAUAUUUUGUUAAAUUAGUACUAAGUGUCACUUGUUUCUGUUUUAACUGAUAUUUUAGAUGGCACUCUUGAAAGAGGCAAGGUUAUUUCUAAAAUGAGAGGUUGACAAAGGCGCUGUUAAUGUUAGCUGAGCACAGAAGGAGAGACUCAAUAAGCAACAACUCAGAGUGGGGACAAAGCAGAGUCCAAUUCGCCUGAGCUCAUCAUGGAUGUGUAUGUGUGAGUGAAAGGAGGAAAGGAGAUGAAAGAAGGAAAGAACAGAAAGAGGACAGGGAUGGGGAAAUGUAGAAGGAGAGAUAGGAGGAAAGAGAAUGCAGGGAUAGUUAAAAACCUCAUGGGAAGAAUAAAGGUUCAAGACUUAUCACAUCUAUCUGCACAUGCACUGAGAGUGAGCAAACAACCACGAUGGGCAACACAUGCAGAUCUAGCAGCCAGCACAGGAGCCAGUGAUGAGGAGAGCCAGUUAAUCCGCUCAGAUAAAGUAGAGGCAUGAGGCCAUGCACAUCCUACCUUCUUUCAUCAUGAAAAUGCAGAACAUGUCCAACACUGGACGUGUGUCAGGCCCUGUGCUGAACACUUCACACGUAUCACCUCCUGCAAACCUCCAGGCAACCCUGUUAGGAAGGUUUUGUUAUUCACUCAUUGUUCAGGGACAGGCCAUGAGCCAUGUAGAGGAUGGGUAGCAUGCCCAGG